RNAcentral lists this long non-coding RNA (6962 nucleotides) under Marmota monax (woodchuck). Lineage: Eukaryota; Metazoa; Chordata; Mammalia; Rodentia; Sciuridae. The record is from RNAcentral.
CGGGGCGGAGCGGAGCGCUGAGGCCGCGGCGCCGCCCUGUUGCUUCCGCCUGCCGGGCGCGGGCGGCCUGCCCCUCCGGCUCCGGCAGGAAAACUUUUAUUCUGCCGCGAAGGCCCGACGGCCGGCGAGGUCCGCCUGCGGGGACAGAAGGGGGACGCCGCUUCCUCGGUGCUGCGCAGGGGCCGCGCGAGCCCGGGCAGGUCGCCCCCCUGGGGACCGCGCCCCGGAACCGCAGCGGAUCCCUAGGCCCGCCCCGGCGGAUCGGGUGGGAGGGUCAGGACCGGCCUCCACCUUCCCGGGCAGGGCCGUCCCUGAGGGCCAGGAGCUGGCCAGUGGAGUGUACUAGAAGAGCGAUUCCUGGGAAUGCGGCUCGCACCCUCCUGGCCCACUGGGCCCUUCGCUAGCAGACGGCCUGACUUAACUCGGGGACUCCGUUUCCAGGCCCCCUGCUCCCGCACAGUGGGUGGUGGAACCCGAGGCUGACAGCACCCUUCAGCAGCCUCGGAAGAGCUGGCAAGAGCCGCGUGUGGGGCUUACGGCUCAGAGUGAGCGUGUCUCACUGACCCAACAGAGUGGUACUGGCCUCCUUUCUGGUUAGACCUCGUGGCUGGGAGCGAGGGCUGGUGCACAAUAAUAGUGACUGCACUGUAAAACGCUCCUUUGGGGGCCAACUGCUGAUUUUCCGUCUUCCAUCCAGCUCUCGUCUCUGCCCCCCUCUGCCAGGCUCUGUGUCCAGGAGGCAGAUGGCCCCCACGAGUGGCUCCACCUGCAGAGGCAACAGCAGUAGACUGAGGACAGAAGGCAAGGCCGGGGCCCUUCUCCCCAGUCCCUGCUGGCCUUGCCCUGGCCUGGCAGUGUGAGUGUUGAGGCCACCUGGUCUGGGGGGCCUCAACUCAUGCCUGGCUCUGGGGAAGACAGGUGUCCAUGUCUCUAAGGCUUGCAGGUCCCUAGAUAUGGCACUCUGGUGUUCCUCAGCCCAUGCCCGCACUCCCGCUCAUGGUCCCUCCUGCCUUGCACACUGUGAGGUUUGUGGGCAGCAGGCGUUAUACAAGGCCACCGAGAAGGGCUCCAUGUCUCUCGGCGGCGCCUGUCUUGUUCAGAGUUGGUUAUGUUCCAUGGUGCCAGGAAUGCCUUCCUUCCUUCCUGUCUAACCUGUCUCCACCCUGUGUGGUGGGUGAACUCUGGCUCAGCUGGUCUUGGUAACUGCAUUCUUUUCUCAGUGAUUGGCUUAAAACAGCCUCGCUGAGGAAUUCUGAGAGGAAGCCUGCUGUGGGUCAUCUGGAAAUGACUUCCUCCUCAAACAGGAGUAGAGGGGACGUUCCACUCUCCCUGCUGGCUGGUGGUAUUUGGAGGUGAUAUCUGGUGCCUUGCAGCCUUCUUGCAGACAUGAGAGGGGUAGCUGAGGAGCAUCUCUGCUCUAGGGAUAGCAGCAUGGAAAAAGCAUGGGUGCUGAUGUCACCACCAGGCCAUGAGCCACCCUGCUGCUGCCCUAACCUGGAAUUUCCUGUUAUGACAGUAGUGCCUGUCUUAAUUUGAACCAGUUGAGUUGCAGCAAGUCAGCAUCUUAACUUGAAACCUAUGCGAACAAAUCUGUUAGGAUUCUCUCUAUUAAAACAGCAGGAAGUCCAGCUCAGCUGUGAACCGGUUCACCCUUGCUGGGCCACAGACCUCCACAACAUAGCCACUGAGACCACAGUUGUCCUCUCUGCAGAUCUGGAUGGGCGUCCUGGUCUUCUGCUCCCUGAGGUUGGGGCAUUGAGAGUGCUGCUGCAUCCAGAGGACUUUCUCAGCAGGUGGGUGGAUGGUGGGAGCAGGCCUGCCUCCCUCUUUUCACACGGUUGCUCAUAAGUCAGUGGUCUAUCGGAGCUGCUUUCCAGGACAGCUGGACCCCAGAGGGUUGAAGUGGACAUAGGAGGUCUGGCUCAGAGGCCCCAGGGCGUUACUUUUGCCACAGUCUGCUGGUGAAUGGGAGUCCACAGCCCGGCCAGACUCCUGGGCAGGGGAAGUAGAUGUCUCUUCUCAGUGGAAAGAGGCCUUGUGUAGACAGGAGUGGGAGGACUUGGACAGUGGUCUCUGGAAAUGAUGCCGUGGCCUGGCUUCAACAAUAGGGCACAUGCUGGCACUCGCCACAGUAAAGGACCCCUGGGGACUCCAGGUCCUGGGUGUUGCUUCACUCAUACCUUUGCAGAAAGAAAAGCUCCAUCGUGAUGAACCAGGAAAAGCCUGAUGGGCUCCUAGCCAGGGGUCCCCAGGUGGCAGGGUCCAGGAGGUGGCUGACCCAUGCCUGAGUCCAGCACCACACUGAGCUAGUGAGUGUCAGAGGGGGCGAGGUUGUCUUACAAUUUGCCUUAGGUAGUUAGGACCCACCCUGCCUCCAACCAUGUGCCUGCCUCCCGGGCCCAUGUGCUGGCUGAGGAGGAGGUGUUGAUGGGUAGGACACAGACCCCAAGCCCUAUGAAGGACGGGGUGGGUGGGUGGGUGUUUGCAGCUGGUGCUUGGGCUGCACCUUUCCCACACCCACACCUGUGCACGUAAGCCCUCGCCCCACCCCUCCCCUCUGCCUCGGGCAACUUAGAUAAAAACAAAGGCUUUGGGGAAAUAAGGGUUAAGGGGGUAUAGAGUCUUCCCAUAAGGACAGUUCAAACAAUUGUUGCCAUUGAGACCUCAAACACAUGUGUAACUAAUUAGAACAAAUUUUAAAAAUAAAAAGCCAUAGACCUGAGGCUAGGCUGAGGACUGAAAGUAAAAAAGACAGGUGUGAAUUACUAGCUGGUAGUGGGAACAGCCAUCCCUGGCAUCAGGAGCUGGGCCGCCCCUCCUGGGGUCCUCUGUGCACGCCUGACCUGGGCCACUUCCGCAGUCCACCUGCGGGGCCUGGUCCAGGGUUCUUCGUGGGAGAAGCCAUAUUUCCUGUCCUUCCCUCUGAGCCUCCACCCGCCACCUUUUUUGCCUGGACUCUUCCCCACCCUGUUUAUUCCACGAGUCCCUCUCCACCCUUUCUGGUCACAGGUUAAUGCCCUCUCCUUCCUCUGGUUGCCAUGAGUGACCCCUCCCUGGCAGGGUUUGCAUCUCAGGUGCCCCUCACCUGCUUUCUUUGCUUGGUUUUAGUUCUUUUAACAUCACUGAUCUAAAGGUCACACGAUUGAGCAAUGUAUUUUAGUCUCCCGCUGGCCUGUCGAUGACACCUCUGGCCAAAGCCACCUAGUGGGUAAAACUCACCCUUCGCCAUCCUCCUGUUCUCCAGGGAAAGACACCUUCUUUAUCUUGAGGGGUAGCCACAGGGUGGGUCUUCCUUGGAGGGGAGCUCAGAAGACAGUCAUAAAACUUACUAACCAGUAACUUUCCCCUAGAUUUACUGGACCAAGCACCUGAUGCUCUUCAGGUGACAUCAGAGUGUGGGCCAAGGACCCAAUGGCUUGCUCUUUAAUUAAGUUAAGUAGAGGCUGGGGCUGGGGCUCAGUGGUAGAGUGCUUUCCUAGCAUGCAUGAGGCCCUGGGUUUGAUCCCAGCACCAAUAAAAAUAAACAAACAAAAUAAAGGUAUUCCGUCCACGUACAACUACAAAAAAAAAAAAUCAAAGUAAUGUUUAACUUGCAGGGAAAUGAUGUGUUUAUCUAAAGAAUUGUAGAGACGGCCUGGAGACAAAAGCCCCUUGUGAUCUUAAGAAUACUCUGGCAGAAGAGGAGAGCCAACGGCCCUGGAUGACAAAGGCCGCACUCAGCCCACGCUUCCCGCCCAUUGCCCGCCUCCCCCUCCCUAUAAAGGCCCUUUGUGCCCUGAGUUCCCUGGGAGGAUCUUUGUUGGUGAUGGCCUCUGACAUUCUUUAGGGGCUGGCUUUCCAACUAGACCUUUUUUCCUUGCAAGUUGUCCUUGAGUAGCUGACCUUUUUAAGUGGUGACUAAGUGAACCUGGUUUCAGGAACACAGCCAUGAUGCUCCGCCUCACCACAGGGCCAAGCAAGCAGGGGCCGGAACCUCUGAAACUGAGCCAAAAUAGACCUUCCUCCUUAUAAAUGGGUUUUCUUAAGUACUUUGUCACAGCAAUGGAAUUUGAGUAGCACAGAGACUUGGCACCCAGAAUAGGGUCAUUGCUUGACCAUCCCUGAAUGUGGUUCAUAAGACUUUGUAAUUGGUUUGGGGGCGAAAUUUCCAAACAUUUAGAGAUAAAGCCUAGAGAAAGCUUGGAGUGCUGUAAACAGAGCUAGUAGGCAAUUCUGACUGGAGAUUAGCAGAUAGUAAAGACUGCUCAUGAGGUGUCAGAAGGGAAGGAGGACUCCACUGGGAAUUGGAGUACAGAACAUUCAGGCCACAUUCCGGCAAAGAACUUGCCUAUAUUUUGUCCAUGCCCUGAGACUUUGUGUGAGUCUGAGUUUAAAGGUGAAGGUGAUGGACUGGUUUAUCUGGUGGAGAACAUUUCAAGGCAGCACAGUGUCCAGGCUGCAGCAUGGACAUUGAUGGACUGCUUUUAGCCAUAUUUAAAGUGAGAAUCUAGAGCAAAAAACAGUGAGAAGUUUUGAAAACCUUGAAGUUUGACUAGAAAGGGGACACAUAUAGAGUUGUGGCCAGGGAGGGUAUGGUUGUUAAAGAGAUUAGCACCAGUAAAACAAAACAAAAAAACAGACAAAACAAAACCAAGUAGUCUGCACCAAGAGAAUGGGAAAAGCUGGCUGGAGCACAUCUCAGUGACCAGUGACCACCUCACAUUGCAAGCUCAACAGUGUAAAGGCGAGAAGUUGGAAGAGAGCCCUGGGGUGCUCUACUUGCAGUGGCUGCCUGGGGAGUUGUUUUCCCAGGACUCAUGUCAUCAUGCUCAGGCACUCAGGGGCCACGGCAGCCAUGGACCAAGGGGGCCUAGCCAUUGUUUGAGCCAGUGGCAGACCUUGGACUCAUCCUGCGGUGCUAGUUCUACAGGCAUGCUAAGUGGGUCCUGGGGUUACAGGGUCCUGGAGGUUUCCACUGAUUCCAAAGGCAGGUCUGGGAGGCCAGGCAGCAGGUGGCAGGGCUGGAGUCCCUGCAGGCAGCCCUGGAGGGCCAUGUGUGGCACCACGGGAGUAAAGCUGCAGCUUCAGAUGAGACCCCAAGAAAUUGAAGAUGCGGGAACAUGGGGCAUCUGCCAAGGAAAGCCACAGACAGGGGGCAGAGCCAGGCCAGGAGUGGCCAUGUGGGCUGCCAGGGCAAGGUCACAGUGGCAGCGCUGCCCAAGCCUGUGGGGCCCACACCAUACCUCCAUGUGCAUCCCAGAUGCAGACAUGGAGCUACAGUAUUUAACGUUUUCCCUGAUUAUUUUGGUCUUGCUUUCUGAUACCCUGUUUGUCCCUUCUGGAAUGGGAAUGCUUAACCUGUACCACUGUGUGUUGGAAUUUUGUAAGUUAUUUAUUUUUUUCCAGGGGCGUACGGCUAUGAGCCAUGCUGAAACUGCUAACGUGGGCUCUCAGAGGUGGAUUGGACGCAUUUUGCACUGUGAGAUGGACUUGAGUCCUUGGGGGACAGGACAGGAUAUUUGGAUCUUAAGUGUUCGCCGAAAGUCCACAUAUGGAAGAGCUGGUCCCCAGCUGCUGGUGCUGCUAGAGCUGGUGGACCUUAGGAGGUGAGGUCAUCGGAGACGUGCCCUCAGGGGGCUCUGGGGACCCCGGCCUUCCUGCCUCUCCUUGCCUACCAGCUGUGCCGCCAGCUCCGCCCCACCACACAUUCCCCACUCUGAUGUUCUGCCUGGGGGCCAGGCCCAAAGGCACCAGGGCCAGGCCACUGUGGACGAAGCCUCUGAAACCGUGAGAGUAGACCUGUCCUCAUUCAAGUUGGUCAUCCCGGUUAUUGUGUCACAAGUUCUCACACGCCCUUUCAAUGAGCUCACUAAGUAAAGCUUAGCUAUUUGUUCAGACCAACAUUUCUAAACCCUGGCUGUAGAUUAAAGCUACUUAAGGACAGUAAGGAUGUGUGCCUCCCCAGGCGUUUGGUUCAAUUGCUGUGGAGUGGGACCCAAACACAGGACUUUUAGAAGCUCCCAGGUGCAGCAGGUUUGAGACUGUGAGUCUGGGUGUGUGUCUGCCUCCCGGUGGGAGAGAACUUGCUGAGGAUGACCACAGCUGAUCCUCACUCCUGGGGCACCGCAUGGCGCCUUGUGCACUGACGUGCCCAGCACAUGGUGAAGAGUCAGGUGGGCCAGGACCUCUCGUGGAACAGGUCAUGUCUCAUUGUGAUUCCUACUCCAAAAUACAUGGGUGUCGUGAGUGCCAGUCUCACAGAAAAAGCAGAGUUCAUCCGCACGACGCUCCAGCUUGACCAUGAACACAGCCGAGUCCCGGUUCCAGUCCCUCUCCUGUUUGGUGGCCAGGGCUCUUGUGUCCACUACUCUGACCACCCUCUCGAGAGACCACACAUUCUUUCAUUUCAUGUCUCCGCUGAAACUUACUCUCUGAACCUUUUUCUUCUUGAAGUUCUUCCUCUGGCCAUUGAGAUGUGGGUCGGGAACGAGUCUCAGGAGAAUCUGAGUCCUGUUUCCUCCUGAGGAGGCAUUCCUGGGUGAGAGGGCGCCCUGCCACGCCCUCUGGUGGGUAACCAGGAAAAGGGGGCGCCUGACCCCAGCUGAGCCCCCCAGGGUGAGCUGAAAGGACGUGGGCUAAGAAGUCUCCCUCUUUUCUUAUUUAUUGCUUACACGCCCUUCUCUCUUGUUCUGUUUCUCUAAAGAAUCGAUGAUUUUAAUUCCAGUUUUCUUUCAGAAAAAAAUAAAGCAGGUUCUCUGAUGCUUAAAAUUACCAAUAAAAUAAUGAAAGCAAUUUGUAAUAUUUAUUUGAACAGUAAUUUUAAUAUAGACCGAUGCUACUCCUCUUCAGCCAAGGAAAUGCAAUGACUGGCCCUCUGAAAGUCGACGAUAACUAGAAAUCCAACUUCGCAGCUUUCCGUGAUCAGGUCACUGGUUUUUAUAUAACCCACUUUGAAAUGUUCUGUCUAUGCCUACUUUAUAGAA